GGGUUGUGAGGUUAAGCGACUAAGCGUACACGGUGGAUGCCCUGGCAGUCAGAGGCGAUGAAGGACGUGCUAAUCUGCGAAAAGCGUCGGUAAGGUGAUAUGAACCGUUAUAGCCGGCGAUGUCCGAAUGGGGAAACCCAGUGCAAUUCGUUGCACUAUCGUUAACUGAAUACAUAGGUUAACGAGGCGAACCGGGGGAACUGAAACAUCUAAGUACCCCGAGGAAAAGAAAUCAACCGAGAUUCCCCCAGUAGCGGCGAGCGAACGGGGAGCAGCCCGGAGUCUGAAUCAGCUUGUGUGUUAGUGGAAGCGUCUGGAAAGUCGCAGGGUACAGGGUGAUACUCCCGUACACUAAAACACACAGGCUGUGAACUCGAAGAGUAGGGCGGGACACGUGGUAUCCUGUCUGAAUAUGGGGGGACCAUCCUCCAAGGCUAAAUACUCCUGACUGACCGAUAGUGAACCAGUACCGUGAGGGAAAGGCGAAAAGAACCCCGGCGAGGGGAGUGAAAAAGAACCUGAAACCGUGUACGUACAAGCAGUAGGAGCCCACUAGUUGGGUGACUGCGUACCUUUUGUAUAAUGGGUCAGCGACUUAUAUUCUGUAGCAAGGUUAACCGUAUAGGGGAGCCGCAGGGAAACCGAGUCUUAACUGGGCGUUAAGUUGCAGGGUAUAGACCCGAAACCCGGUGAUCUAGCCAUGGGCAGGUUGAAGGUUGGGUAACACUAACUGGAGGACCGAACCGACUAAUGUUGAAAAAUUAGCGGAUGACUUGUGGCUGGGGGUGAAAGGCCAAUCAAACCGGGAGAUAGCUGGUUCUCCCCGAAAGCUAUUUAGGUAGCGCCUCGUGAAUUCAUCUUCGGGGGUAGAGCACUGUUUCGGCUAGGGGGUCAUCCCGACUUACCAACCCGAUGCAAACUACGAAUACCGAAGAAUGUUAUCACGGGAGACACACGGCGGGUGCUAACGUCCGUCGUGAAGAGGGAAACAACCCAGACCGCCAGCUAAGGUCCCAAAGUCAUGGUUAAGUGGGAAACGAUGUGGGAAGGCCCAGACAGCCAGGAUGUUGGCUUAGAAGCAGCCAUCAUUUAAAGAAAGCGUAAUAGCUCACUGGUCGAGUCGGCCUGCGCGGAAGAUGUAACGGGGCUAAACCAUGCACCGAAGCUGCGGCAGCGACACUAUGUGUUGUUGGGUAGGGGAGCGUUCUGUAAGCCGUUGAAGGUGGCCUGUGAGGGUUGCUGGAGGUAUCAGAAGUGCGAAUGCUGACAUAAGUAACGAUAAUGCGGGUGAAAAACCCGCACGCCGGAAGACCAAGGGUUCCUGUCCAACGUUAAUCGGGGCAGGGUGAGUCGACCCCUAAGGCGAGGCCGAAAGGCGUAGUCGAUGGGAAACAGGUUAAUAUUCCUGUACUUGGUGUUACUGCGAAGGGGGGACGGAGAAGGCUAUGUUGGCCGGGCGACGGUUGUCCCGGUUUAAGCAUGUAGGCGGAUGUUCCAGGUAAAUCCGGAACGUUACUAACGCUGAGGUGUGAUGACGAGGCACUACGGUGCUGAAGUGACAAAUGCCCUGCUUCCAGGAAAAGCCUCUAAGCAUCAGGUAACAUCAAAUCGUACCCCAAACCGACACAGGUGGUCAGGUAGAGAAUACCAAGGCGCUUGAGAGAACUCGGGUGAAGGAACUAGGCAAAAUGGUGUCGUAACUUCGGGAGAAGGCACGCUGAUGGUAGGUGAAGUGACUUGCUCAUGGAGCUGAAAUCAGUCGAAGAUACCAGCUGGCUGCAACUGUUUAUUAAAAACACAGCACUGUGCAAACACGAAAGUGGACGUAUACGGUGUGACGCCUGCCCGGUGCCGGAAGGUUAAUUGAUGGGGUUAUCCUCACGGAGAAGCUCUUGAUCGAAGCCCCGGUAAACGGCGGCCGUAACUAUAACGGUCCUAAGGUAGCGAAAUUCCUUGUCGGGUAAGUUCCGACCUGCACGAAUGGCGUAAUGAUGGCCAGGCUGUCUCCACCCGAGACUCAGUGAAAUUGAACUCGCUGUGAAGAUGCAGUGUACCCGCGGCAAGACGGAAAGACCCCGUGAACCUUUACUAUAGCUUGACACUGAACACUGGUCCUUGAUGUGUAGGAUAGGUGGGAGGCUUUGAAGUGUGGACGCCAGUCUGCAUGGAGCCAUCCUUGAAAUACCACCCUUUAAUGGCUGGUGUUCUAACGUGGGCCCCUAAUCGGGGUUGCGGACAGUGUCUGGUGGGUAGUUUGACUGGGGCGGUCUCCUCCUAAAGAGUAACGGAGGAGCACGAAGGUCAGCUAAUCCUGGUCGGACAUCAGGAGGUUAGUGCAAUGGCAUAAGCUGGCUUGACUGCGAGCGUGACGGCGCGAGCAGGUGCGAAAGCAGGUCAUAGUGAUCCGGUGGUUCUGAAUGGAAGGGCCAUCGCUCAACGGAUAAAAGGUACUCCGGGGAUAACAGGCUGAUACCGCCCAAGAGUUCAUAUCGACGGCGGUGUUUGGCACCUCGAUGUCGGCUCAUCACAUCCUGGGGCUGAAGUAGGUCCCAAGGGUAUGGCUGUUCGCCAUUUAAAGUGGUACGCGAGCUGGGUUUAGAACGUCGUGAGACAGUUCGGUCCCUAUCUGCCGUGGGCGCUGGAGAAUUGAGGGGGGCUGCUCCUAGUACGAGAGGACCGGAGUGGACGCAUCACUGGUGUUCGGGUUGUCAUGCCAAUGGCAUUGCCCGGUAGCUAAAUGCGGAAGAGAUAAGUGCUGAAAGCAUCUAAGCACGAAACUUGCCCCGAGAUGAGUUCUCCCUGACUCCUUGAGAGUCCUGAAGGAACGUUGAAGACGACGACGUUGAUAGGCCGGGUGUGUAAGCGCAGCGAUGCGUUGAGCUAACCGGUACUAAUGAACCGUGAGGCUUAACCUUACAACGCCGAAG
RNAcentral lists this ribosomal RNA (2927 nucleotides) under Klebsiella oxytoca. RNAcentral describes it as "bacterial LSU rRNA". It matches the Rfam family "Bacterial large subunit ribosomal RNA". The record is from RNAcentral. Lineage: Bacteria; Pseudomonadati; Pseudomonadota; Gammaproteobacteria; Enterobacterales; Enterobacteriaceae.